RNAcentral lists this unclassified non-coding RNA (209 nucleotides) under plant metagenome. RNAcentral's name for it is "partial contains small subunit ribosomal RNA, internal transcribed spacer 1, and 5.8S ribosomal RNA". The record is from RNAcentral.
UCUCCGUUGGUGAACCAGCGGAGGGAUCAUUACUGGAAUCGCAAGAUCCCACAACCCUGUGAACCUACCGAAACGUUGCCUCGGCGGGUGCCCGGCCUCUGCGCCGGGCGCUGCGCCCGCCGGCGGCCCCCUACUCUGUCUCUGCAGCGUGGCAUCUCAGAGUCCCAGAAAACAAGUCAAAACUUUCAACAACGGAUCUCUUGGCUCCA